RNAcentral lists this transfer RNA (73 nucleotides) under Stegodyphus mimosarum. It matches the Rfam family "tRNA". From Rfam's summary of the family: Transfer RNA (tRNA) molecules are approximately 80 nucleotides in length. Their secondary structure includes four short double-helical elements and three loops (D, anti-codon, and T loops). Further hydrogen bonds mediate the characteristic L-shaped molecular structure. tRNAs have two regions of fundamental functional importance: the anti-codon, which is responsible for specific mRNA codon recognition, and the 3' end, to which the tRNAs corresponding amino acid is attached (by aminoacyl-tRNA synthetases). tRNAs cope with the degeneracy of the genetic code in two manners: having more than one tRNA (with a specific anti-codon) for a particular amino acid; and 'wobble' base-pairing, i.e. permitting non-standard base-pairing at the 3rd anti-codon position. Lineage: Eukaryota; Metazoa; Arthropoda; Arachnida; Araneae; Eresidae. The record is from Rfam by way of RNAcentral.
GCCUUCGCGGUGUAGUGGUCAGCACACUCGACGUGUAUUCGAGAGGUCCGUGGUUCGAGUCCCGGCGAGGGCA